RNAcentral lists this ribosomal RNA (464 nucleotides) under uncultured bacterium. Its description in RNAcentral is "partial 16S ribosomal RNA". It matches the Rfam family "Bacterial small subunit ribosomal RNA", at positions 29 to 507 of the family's 1533-position model. The record is from RNAcentral.
ACGAACGCUGGCGGCGUGCUUAACACAUGCAAGUCGUACGGUAAGGCCCUUUCGGGGGUCCACGAGUGGCGAACGGGUGAGUAACACGUGAGUAACCUGCCCACAACUUUGGGAUAACGCUAGGAAACUGGUGCUAAUACUGGAUAUGUGCUCCUGCUGCAUGGUGGGGGUUGGAAAGCUCCGGCGGUUGUGGAUGGACUCGCGGCCUAUCAGCUUGUUGGUGGGGUAGUGGCCUACCAAGGCGGCGACGGGUAGCCGGCCUGAGAGGGUGACCGGCCACAUUGGGACUGAGAUACGGCCCAGACUCCGACGGGAGGCAGCAGUGGGGAAUAUUGCACAAUGGGCGCAAGCCUGAUGCAGCAACGCCGCGUGCGGGAUGACGGCCUUCGGGUUGUAAACCGCUUUCAGCAGGGACGAAGCUUUUUGUGACGGUACCUGCAGAAGAAGCACCGGCUAACUACGUG